RNAcentral lists this ribosomal RNA (497 nucleotides) under uncultured bacterium. Its description in RNAcentral is "partial 16S ribosomal RNA". It matches the Rfam family "Bacterial small subunit ribosomal RNA", at positions 28 to 507 of the family's 1533-position model. The record is from RNAcentral.
GACGAACGCUGGCGGCGUGCCUAAUACAUGCAAGUAGAACGCUGAAGAGAGGAGCUUGCUCUUCUUGGAUGAGUUGCGAACGGGUGAGUAACGCGUAGGUAACCUGCCUGGUAGCGGGGGAUAACUAUUGGAAACGGUAGCUAAUACCGCAUAAAAUUGAUUAUUGCAUGAUAAUUAAUUGAAAGAUGCAACUGCAUCACUACCAGAUGGACCUGCGUUGUAUUAGCUAGUUGGUGAGGUAACGGCUCACCAAGGCGACGAUACAUAGCCGACCUGAGAGGGUGAUCGGCCACACUGGGACUGAGACACGGCCCAGACUCCUACGGGAGGCAGCAGUAGGGAAUCUUCGGCAAUGGGGGGAACCCUGACCGAGCAACGCCGCGUGAGUGAAGAAGGUUUUCGGAUCGUAAAGCUCUGUUGUAAGAGAAGAACGGGUGUGAGAGUGGAAAGUUCACACUGUGACGGUAUCUUACCAGAAAGGGACGGCUAACUACGUG